GGCUCUGUAGCACAAUGGACAGCGCGUUGGACUUCUAAUUCAAAGGUUGUGGGUUCAAAUCCCACCAGAGUCA
This 73-nucleotide transfer RNA is filed under the name Oreochromis niloticus (Nile tilapia). Its description in RNAcentral is "tRNA-Arg (TCT) (tRNA-Arg-TCT-21-1)". It matches the Rfam family "tRNA". Rfam says of the family: Transfer RNA (tRNA) molecules are approximately 80 nucleotides in length. Their secondary structure includes four short double-helical elements and three loops (D, anti-codon, and T loops). Further hydrogen bonds mediate the characteristic L-shaped molecular structure. tRNAs have two regions of fundamental functional importance: the anti-codon, which is responsible for specific mRNA codon recognition, and the 3' end, to which the tRNAs corresponding amino acid is attached (by aminoacyl-tRNA synthetases). tRNAs cope with the degeneracy of the genetic code in two manners: having more than one tRNA (with a specific anti-codon) for a particular amino acid; and 'wobble' base-pairing, i.e. permitting non-standard base-pairing at the 3rd anti-codon position. Lineage: Eukaryota; Metazoa; Chordata; Actinopteri; Cichliformes; Cichlidae. The record is from RNAcentral.